UACGUAGGGUCCGAGCGUUGUCCGGAAUUAUUGGGCGUAAAGGGCUCGUAGGCGGUUCGUCACGUCGGGAGUGAAAACUCGGGGCUUAACCCCGAGCCUGCUUCCGAUACGGGCAGACUAGAGGUAGGUAGGGGAGAUCGGAAUUCCUGGUGUAGCGGUGAAAUGCGCAGAUAAUCAGGAGGAACACCGGUGGCGAAAGGCGGAUCUCGUGGGCCUACCUGACGC
This 225-nucleotide ribosomal RNA is filed under the name uncultured bacterium. Its description in RNAcentral is "partial 16S ribosomal RNA". It matches the Rfam family "Bacterial small subunit ribosomal RNA", at positions 524 to 746 of the family's 1533-position model. The record is from RNAcentral.